This 220-nucleotide long non-coding RNA is filed under the name Homo sapiens (human). Its description in RNAcentral is "HSALNT0132551". The record is from RNAcentral. Lineage: Eukaryota; Metazoa; Chordata; Mammalia; Primates; Hominidae.
UCGGGUUUCCCACCACCUCCAAAUCAUGGAAGAGUUCAGGCAGAGCCCGCGGAGCCAUGGCCAGCCCUUCCAGCAGCUCCGAAGCCACUGGCAAGCCCCGAGGCAGGGAUGGCAGUCCCAGGAUGGGGGAGGAGGACGUCCCUCCCGAAGAGAAGAGGCUGGGGCUGUAGCUGGAGGGGGGAAGCGCACAGCCCGAGGACUGCGAGGACGGGGAGGACCC